Molecule: long non-coding RNA, 3864 nt
Organism: Equus caballus (horse)
Lineage: Eukaryota; Metazoa; Chordata; Mammalia; Perissodactyla; Equidae
Source: Ensembl
UCCACUUGCUUAAAAGGGCAGAUACAGUGUGAGCCCACCUUCUUAGCACAUCUGUGAAAGGAUCUCACGCCAGACCAUCCAUUGUCUUAAUCAUUCGCUUUUAAAUUUUAAAGGCCAUAUGGCUCUAGUGUCUCUCCUCUAACAUAUUUAUCACCGCUCCUUCACCUUUUGAGUAGGCUGAAACAUGACACAUUACAUCUGUGUUGAUAGUGUUUCAAAAGUUACUUUCCCCAAGUUGUUUUCCAUUUAUUAUCCAGUCCUUUUAUUUUUUUGAAACUACUUGAGACAAUAGUCACCAAAAACAAAUCCAUGAACAUGUGGACAUCUGGGUUGUUUGAUUUCUACGCAUCCUACACUGCCACCAGAACUGUGUAAAUUUCAGUAUGGUUUGCUAGUUGGUCUGGCUGGCCCCUUGUCCGUUUUCCCAUCUUAACAUGAAAGAAAGCAGCUUUUCAUUUAACCCUGCCUCUGGUUGGAGUGGGACUACUAUCCACUAGCAAAAACAUUGUCUCUACCUUCCUCCAGAAAAUUCUCCCAGCGCUGUCUCCACUUAGAAAGAGGCUUUCCCUCACUAAUUGGUGACAUGGACACUCCUUGGAGCAGCAGAGGAGCAAGUGGCUGACUGGUACCUCCAUAUAUAGUGCCAUGGGGGCAUGGUUUGGCCCUUUUCUGAAGGUGUCCUUGCAAUUUUAAUUGGAUGGUCUCUGCUCCUCUCUGAUUUGAUUGGAUCCAUAGCAUAACAAAAGUCUCUUCUCCAGCAAUAAAAUGGUUUUGAGGUUUUGGGGACCUGCCCCAUUAAGUUAUUUCAAUAGACCCAAGAAGCUGUGGAGUAUUUGAUUUUCUAGGGCUGUAUAAGUUGCCUUUGCCCUUGGAAUUUCUUGCACUCAAGUCUUGCUGGUCUCUGGAGGAUACCACAGAUGGGUUCAUUCAACAUGGAUCCUAAGCUCCUUCCUACCCCAUAGGGGCUGGAAAACCAAAAACUACACUUCCUAGACCCCCUUGUUUCUGAUGCGAUUUGGCUUUUUCAGGUUUGAUCUUAAUUAGGAAUUGAGUUAAGUGGGAGAGAGGCUGCAGCCAAUGAUGCAUCCAUUUUGCUGAUACAGAUCCAGCAGGUGUGGCAUGGCUGAUAAUGGCCUUCAUCCUCCAAUCACAGCUAAGGCACAACUGAGAGCCAUUGUUGGAGCAGCAGCUUCCUGAUCCCCAGAUAACAGUGAAGGUGGUGUGCGCCUGGAUCCUGAAGUUUAGACAGUCGCCUCCUGUGUCAGCCUCUUGAUUUGCCAUCUUCCUGAUUGACCUAGAGAUAGCAGUUUCCUUGACAGAUGUGGGGAACUGUUUGGGUCUAUGGAAGAGUGACUCACUACUUGGUUAGCUGUUCUUUAAGUGCUUAUCUUGUUCCAUUUCAGUGCUCCAAAUGUAUCUAUCACACCAAUGUAAUAAAGAGUACACAGAGCCAUUUUCUGGCUUCCUUUGGGUUGGAUGGGACUGAUUGAACUGACCAAUGUAUCUGACCAUUCUUUGGAAAUGCAAGACUCUGAAAAGCUGCUUUUUCCAGCCAACACAACCACCAGCAAAUUUGGGGAUGAGGUCUGCAUACACACUGCUUUUGAGCAGUAUCUUCAGUGAAGGAAAAUGAAACAUAGCCUUUUAAAUUAACAUGCCAAGAGGGAUUCAAAACUUGCCAUUGCCUAGUUGGCAUUACAAAGACACCAGCUGCCAGAGUGUGAAGAAGCCUAGGCCACAUGGAGAAACCACUUGUAGAUGUUCCAGCUAACAAACUCUUCUGUGGUCCUGGCCAGCAGCCUGUAUUAACUGCUAGACAUGUGAAUGAAGAAGCUUUCAAGACUAAUCCAAUCCCACAUAUCAUCUGACUGCAACUGUGUGAGAGAUCCCAGAUACAUUUAAAGAGCCGCAUGAACACAAUUAAGAGGAAGGUCAGACUGAUUGCAAGUUCAUGAUGAGUAAAUGCUCUUUAUACUGCAAAAUGUCUUGUGCAAGGUUUCAAUUUUCAAAACCACUGGACUAUUUGCUUGCUUUUUCCACGGAAGAGCUGUUUUAUGUACACCAAGAAAGUGGAAGUUUUGUUUUGUUUGACUUUGGGUUUUCGUCCUUACAAAGCGAAGCGUACAUUUGUCCUUUAAUAGUAAUAAGCAGAAAUAAGGCAAGUAGGUACCCAUUAUUCUAGAGCAGCCCUGUCUAAUAGAAAGGUCAUGUGAACCACAUAAGCAAUUUUAAAUUUCCUAGUAGCCACAUUAAAAAUUAAAAAGAAAUGAAUGAAAUUAACUUUAAUGAUAUAUUUUAUUUAACACAAUAUAUCCAAAAUAUUACCAUUACAACACAUGAUCAAUAUUACAAAAAAUAUAACAGUGAGUUAUUUAGCAUUCUUUUUUCUUACUGAGUCUUUGAAGUUUGAUGUGCACUUUAUACUUAGAGAACAUUUCAAUUUGGAUUAGCCACAUUUCAAGAGCUUGUGGCUACCAUAUUGGAUGGUGCGGGUCUAGGAAAGGGUAACAUGUCUUUAAAAAGUAAUUUAGUGAAAGCUAUCUCCAGCCUUGACAUGCCAAAGAGAUCGCUCACUAAUGGGUCGCUACAGGUCACUAGCACUAGCUAAAGUGCACAGAUUUGCAUGAAGAACCCAGGUCAGCUGGUGGAGGAGAGAAAGAUGAAAAUGUUAGGGAGAUCUCUCAAGGUGGACAAAAAGUGGCUAAAUUAGGACCUACUUUUAGGUAAUUGCAAAGUGGACUGGUUUUGCAAAAUUAAUUUUUGCCAGAGGUGAUUUUAUUGCAAACUUCAAAUGAACUCAGUUCCAAUGAAUUUGAUUAGUUGAUUAUUUGAGCACAGUGUCACAAUAUCUGUAAGAGGCUGUUGGCAGAGGAUGAAGCAUGAUCUGUCAUUUGCCUUUUGCUGGAGUGUCUCCUAGAUGAAGUGUGCAUGAUUGGAAUGACAAUGCUGCAGGCACGCUUUGCCCAUUUGUGUAUGGUCUUUCAUAAACUCAAAAGGGACACUUAGGGGUCUCUCAGCUUCCAUAGAUCUCCCCCCAAAAAAGGAGUCGGAGAAGCCCUGACAGAUGUCAGAGAGUCCUUUGCCCUUUAUUUUAUUGUAGAAGCUCUCAGGUCACCACUCAUGAACUUCUCCUUUCUUAAUUUACAUACCUACAUACAAUAAGAAUAAAGAUGAUGAUGUUACCCUGUGCUUGUAUUGCACUUUUACUUUCGAAAUCCCUUCCACAUAUAUUAUUUAUUUUCAUUUCAACAAACUUUCUGCAAGUUAAAGAAAGCAGUCCAAUCCUACUGCCUCAAGGCCUUGGAUCUUUAAAAAAUCAAUUCAGAUCCCUGAACCUUGCUCUUUUAUCUUGCAAUAUGAAUAAUACCAGUUUUCCCUUACGGCUUUUAGUUAAAUAAGACAGCAUAUUUAAAAUGCAUUGCAUAUUGUAUGUGAUCAUUAGGUGUUAGUUACCCUCAUCGUUAGAAAUUUAAAUUAAAAAUUUAGCAAACUGUAUGGUCAGUUUUAGACAUGUUGCAAUCUUCAUGGCUAAAGUAAACACUUUGACAUAUAAAAUCAUUGACCCCUAGGACUAGAAGGCUCUGAGAUUCCAAUCAGUAACAUGCUUUGAGGAGCUACAAUAUGCCAGGCACUGUGCCAGGCAUAGAGGGUCUACUCCACACUACAAGAGGCAGAAGCUGAGGACCAUUGUUCAUGGUCACAUGGUUAAUGUAUAAUGACAGUGGCAUUAAGCUAUAGCUUUUCUAAUAAGUCCAGCCACUUUUUAUGACACUACUUCCAUCUCUUCCUCCCCUAAACUCUUAACAAUUUGUUAUUUAGCUUGUGAGUCCACAUAAACAGCACACUGGAGAAAGCUGGACAGUA